AUUGAACGCUGGCGGCAUGCCUUACACAUGCAAGUCGAACGGCAGCACGGGUGCUUGCACCUGGUGGCGAGUGGCGAACGGGUGAGUAAUACAUCGGAACAUGUCCUGUAGAGGGGGAUAGCCCGGCGAAAGCCGGAUUAAUACCGCAUACGAUCCACGGAUGAAAGCGGGGGACCUUCGGGCCUCGCGCUAUAGGGUUGGCCGAUGGCUGAUUAGCUAGUUGGUGGGGUAAAGGCCUACCAAGGCGACGAUCAGUAGCUGGUCUGAGAGGACGACCAGCCACACUGGGACUGAGACACGGCCCAGACUCCUACGGGAGGCAGCAGUGGGGAAUUUUGGACAAUGGGCGAAAGCCUGAUCCAGCAAUGCCGCGUGUGUGAAGAAGGCCUUCGGGUUGUAAAGCACUUUUGUCCGGAAAGAAAUCCUUGACUCUAAUACAGUCGGGGGAUGACGGUACCGGAAGAAUAAGCACCGGCUAACUACGUG
RNAcentral lists this ribosomal RNA (486 nucleotides) under uncultured bacterium. RNAcentral's name for it is "partial 16S ribosomal RNA". It matches the Rfam family "Bacterial small subunit ribosomal RNA", at positions 30 to 507 of the family's 1533-position model. The record is from RNAcentral.